UAUUUUAUCUAUUAGUAUCUUAAUAUUUUUAAUGAUUGACGGUGCUACCUGCUUUAUAAAAAAUUUAUUUGUGACAGCUUCAUAGGCUCUAUAAUUGCUUUAUAAAAGAAGAAAAAAGAGGGAGCUAAAUUAACUUGCACGCAAAUGUGUGUAAGUAUUUUCAUUACUGCAAUGACCGUACAUCUUCUCAGUCUUUUGUUUUUUUUUUAUUAAAAAUAAAAAACUCGUCUCAAAAUGGACUUUGACAGAAUUUUAGUAGAUUUUGGUGAAUAUGGAACGUACCAAAAACAGUUAAUUUGGCUAAUCGUUCUACCAUGUGUUUUACCAUGCGGAUUUCAUGCUUAUAAUCAACUAUUUAUGGCUUCCAUUCCAGAACAUUGGUGCAAAGAUGAAAAUUUCAGUUACAAUAAUUAUACAUCUAAAAAUAAUAAUCAGUGUUUGAACUCAAUGAAUAAUACUUGUGAGGUUUGGGAUUUUGAUUAUAGUCGAUAUUCAUCUACGAUUGUAACAGAAUGGAAUUUAGUAUGUUCAAAACAAUUUUAUCCAACUUUUGCUUUAGUAGUAUUUGGCCUAAGUGGUUUGUUUGGUAUGUUACUAUUCGGAUUUAUUCAAGACGGGCUCGGUAGACGACCAGCGUUUUUCAUAUAUUUACUGAUCGAGUGUAUAUUCGGUGUGGCCACAGCAUUCGCUCAGAAUUUUUGGAUGUGGUUGUUUUUCAGGAUUGGAGUCGGAUUUACUGUACCAGCGAUCUUAGCAACGCCUAACGUACUGCCCAUUGAGUUUGUCGGCCCCGCUCAUCGAACCACGUGCAUUCUGCUCACCAACAUUGCUCAUUCCGUCGGCAUGGUCAUAUUGUCAUUGGUCUUGUAUGCUUUUCGUGACUGGCGUCAGCUCGCUUUAGCUACAUCCUUGCCGUUCACGGUUUACUUUCUUUACUGGUGGAGGUUCCCUGAGUCGCCGAGAUGGCUGUUGGCGUGCGGACGGUUUGAAAAAGCCAAAAAAAUUUUGCUAAAAAUGGCAAAAGUGAACGGAAAGAAUAUUUCACCUGAUUAUAUGGAUCAAUUAAAAAUUAAGUACGAAGAGGAAUUUAAUAAUCAGAAGAGUAAAACGGACGAGCAAUACAACGUGUUUCAUUUGUUUAAGACGCCAAACUUACGUUUUAAAACAAUUGCAAUCACAUUUAUAUGGUUUGUCAACACAACCGUAUACGUUGGACUUUCAUAUUAUGCACCGGCCCUGAGUUCUGAUGAGCAUUUGAAUUUUUUCCUGGCCGGAGCCGUCGAGUUGCCAACGUACAUAAUACUGUGGCCUGCGAUGGAGAGAUUCGGUAGAAAAAGUAUAUUGAACAUUAGCAUGUUGAUCGGAGGUUGUGCUUGCCUGGCUGCCACUUGUUCCACACUAGACGAAAAGUGGACGUUGAUAAUGUUUUGUGUCGGCAAGAUGGGAAUAUCGUCUUCCUACGUUAUACUCUCUCUGUUUGCUCCAGAAUUGUAUCCGACUGUGGUCAGAGGUCUGGGAAUGAGCGUCAGUUCAGUAGCUGGUAUGAUCGGACCCGUUGGACUUCCAAUCAUCAACUACGUGGGUACGGGUUCUCAGCUGUCACUUAUUGUCAUGGGCGUACUACAAAUCGUUGGCGGUUUCGUUACGCUCCUUCUACCGGAAACGAAAAACUGUCAUUUGCCGCAGACACUAGAUGACGGAGAAAAGUACGCAAGCAACAAGUGAAGCUUAUAAUAACAAAAUAGAAUAUAGCGCCUGUUCACGUGUACUGUCUAUUAUAUUACACACACUUUUCUAUACCAAUUAUUAUGAUAGUGCGGAUCGUAAAGAAAACAAAUAUAUUUGAUCCAUGCAGCAC
This is an RNA transcript of Sipha flava (yellow sugarcane aphid), 1858 nucleotides long. It is a transcript of the gene named carcinine transporter, with no coding region annotated. The record is from RefSeq and is a predicted model, not a curated record. The transcript has 11 exons. NCBI's taxonomy places the organism in Eukaryota, Metazoa, Arthropoda, Insecta, Hemiptera, Aphididae.